RNAcentral lists this ribosomal RNA (994 nucleotides) under bacterium. RNAcentral describes it as "bacterial SSU rRNA". It matches the Rfam family "Bacterial small subunit ribosomal RNA", at positions 512 to 1503 of the family's 1533-position model. The record is from RNAcentral.
CAUCACCGGUAUAUAUUAGGUGCAAGUCUUUUUCCCGGAAUUUUUUGGGGUAAAGGCGCGCAGGGGGUUCCUUUAAUUUGAUGUGAAAGCCCCCCGGCUCUACCCGGGAGGGGUCAUUGGAAAAUGGGGAAAUUGAGACCGAAGGAGAAGGAGUGGAAUUUCCCGGUAGCGGUGAAAAGCGUAGAGAUGUGGAGGAACACCACUGGGGGAAGGGGACUUUUUGGUCUCUAAAUGACGCUGAGGGGGGAAAGCGUGGGGAGCAAACACGGUUAGAUACCCCGGGAGUCCACGCUGGAAAAGAAGAGUGGUAAGUGUUAGGGGGUUUCCGCCCUUUAGUUUUGCAAGAAAAGCAUUAAACACUCCCCCUGGGGAGAACCGCCCCAAGGUUCAAACUCCAAGGAAUUUGCGGGGGCCCCCCCAAAGGGUUGAGCCUUUGGUUUAAUUUGAAGCAACGGGAAGAACCUUACCAGGUUUUGGCCUUUCCUGACAACCCUUAAGAUUGGGCGUUCCCCUUCGGGGGACAGGAUGCCAGUGGGUGAUGGGUUUUGUUCACUUGUUGUUUUGAAAGUUUGGGUUAUUUCCCGCAAGAGGCCCAACCCUUGAUUUUGGUUCCCGGCAUUCAGUUGGGCACUCUAAGGUGACUGCCGGUGACAAACCGGAGGAAGGUGGGGAUGACGUCAAAUCAUCAUGCCCCUUAUGACCUGGGCUACACACGUGCUACAAUGGAUGGUACAAAGGGAAGCAAGCCCGCGAGGUUAAGCGAAUCCCAUAAAACCAUUUUCAGUUCGGAUGGCAGGUUGCAACUCGCUUGCAGGAAGCCGGAAUCGCUAGUAAUCGCGGAUCAGCAUGCCGCGGUGAAUACGUUCCCGGGCCUUGUACACACCGCCGGUCACACCAGGAGAGUUGGUACCACCGGAAUUAGGUGGGGUAACCUUUGGAGCCAGCCGCCUAAGGUGGGACAGAUGAUUGGGGGAAGUCGAAACAAGGUAGCCUG